GAUGAACGCUGGCGGCGUGCUUAACACAUGCAAGUCGAGCGGGCAAUUUAUCUAGCACUGAUUACUUCAAAUGGAAAUCAUAAGUGUAAUCAUGAAUUUCUACCUUUAAUAAAGAAAAAGAAAUUCAUGUACGCAAAUAGUGAUAACACAUUUUAGUGGAGUGAUGAGUGCUGGAUAAAUUGCUAGCGGCGGACGGGUGCGUAACACGUGGGUAACCUGCCCCUAUCACUGGGAUAACACACUGAAAAGUAGUGCUAAUACCAGAUAACAUAAGCUUUUGGUCAUCAUUAGCUUAUCAAAGAAUUUCGGAUAGGGAUGGGCCCGCGUCUGAUUAGCUAGUUGGUGAGGUAACGGCUCACCAAGGCAACGAUCAGUAGCCGACCUGAGAGGGUGAUCGGCCACACUGGAACUGAGACACGGUCCAGACUCCUACGGGAGGCAGCAGUGGGGAAUAUUGCACAAUGGGC
RNAcentral lists this ribosomal RNA (467 nucleotides) under uncultured bacterium. RNAcentral describes it as "bacterial SSU rRNA". It matches the Rfam family "Bacterial small subunit ribosomal RNA", at positions 28 to 376 of the family's 1533-position model. The record is from RNAcentral.